This 46-nucleotide non-coding RNA is filed under the name Schistosoma margrebowiei. The record is from RNAcentral. Lineage: Eukaryota; Metazoa; Platyhelminthes; Trematoda; Strigeidida; Schistosomatidae.
GCACUGCUGAGGAGUCCCACAAUAGGAUGAAACGACCGUCCUGUGU